UUCAGGUGACACGGAGCUGCCAGGUCAUUCUGCCUAUCUAUCACUGACAACCUGUCUGCUCUGGAUUCCUCUUUUGGAGGUGACAUGUGAGUAGGUCAAAGAGAGUAGGUGGGUAAUAGAAUUGAAGAGCUGCUGUUCUCUGGACAUAGCAAGAGAAGAGACCUGAGCAGAGGAGGCUGGCAGAGGGGUUCACUCAUCCCUGAGAAAAGAGCAGGCUGGCUGGCUGUGCAGGACAGAACCUGUCUGCAGUGUUCCACCUCGUAACUGCUUUGCUGCUCCUGUCCUCAUGCCUCCCUUCUCUUACACACCUCACACAACAACUGCUACGCCCAGAGCAGGCUGGAGCUGAGAGCAGUGCAGCAGGGGCUUUGGAAACAACAGACCUGGACCUGAGUGCCUCGUCUGUAAGAAAUCAAAGGAGGCCAGGAGGAAAGUAAAAUGCGCAGAUGGAUUUUGGUGGCUCAAUGCUGUACAGAACCUGCCCCCGAAUUCCAGACCCAGGAACUCCUUCCAAAGUACCAUGCUAAGCAUUCUGAACCCAGCCAGCAUGGAUGCUCCUUUUUUGCUGCAUUGACGCUCUGCACCUCCCAUGAGCACUGGUUGCCAAGUCACUCUGUCUCUUUUAAUGCCAGCCAUGAGAAGCAUGCACAAUUAUACUAAGCAAAGUGUCUCUCUGAGAAGCACUUGAAGAUCAGGCUCACAGACUAUUGAAAAGUGUGAUGAUUAACUUUAUGUAUCAGUUUGAUUUGGCUUAGUGAUUCCUAGGUAGCUGAUAAAACAUUUAUGCAUGUGUCUGUAAGGAGGUUCUGGAAGACAGAAGCAUCUGGAAGAGAGUGAAAUUCUGUCUGUCUGUCUCCUUCUGAGAUACAAUGUUCAUCUUCUCAUUCUUGCUCUUGGAGCUUGGAUCGUGUUUUGAACUGAAGUAGCCCUGAUUCUCAGGUUUUUUGACUCAGAAUGAAUUCUGCAUUAUACUACUGGCUUUCUUCAUCUUGAAGUUUGAACAGGGCAUAUUUGAAGGCUUCUUGGACUUCAUAAUUUUGUA
Chinchilla lanigera (long-tailed chinchilla) is the source of this 1042-nucleotide long non-coding RNA. RefSeq lists it as uncharacterized. NCBI's taxonomy places the organism in Eukaryota, Metazoa, Chordata, Mammalia, Rodentia, Chinchillidae. The record is from RefSeq and is a predicted model, not a curated record. The transcript has 4 exons.